GAGGUACACAGUGGUAAUGAUGACAAGGUCAGGACAGAAGUCUUACAUCACGGAGAGAUACACAGUGGUAAUGAUGACAAGGUCAGGACAGAAGUCUUACAUCACGGAGAGAUACACAGUGGUAAUGAUGACAAGGUCAGGACAGAAGUCUUACAUCACGGAGAGAUACACAGUGGUAAUGAUGACAAGGUCAGGACAGAAGUCUUACAUCACGGAGAGAUACAC
This is a non-coding RNA of Salmo salar (Atlantic salmon), 225 nucleotides long. The record is from RefSeq and is a predicted model, not a curated record. NCBI's taxonomy places the organism in Eukaryota, Metazoa, Chordata, Actinopteri, Salmoniformes, Salmonidae.